AUACAUAGGGGGCGAGCGUUGUCCGGAAUGACUGGGCGUAAAGGGAGUGUAGGCGGUCGCGCAAGUUAUAUGUGAAAGCCCGGGGCUUAACCUCGGAAUUGCAUGUAAAACUGCGUGACUAGAGUGUGGGAGAGGAAAGUGGAAUUCCUAGUGUAGCGGUGGAAUGCGUAGAUAUUAGGAGGAACACCAGUGGCGAAGGCGGCUUUCUGGACCACAACUGACGCUGAGGCUCGAAAGCGUGGGGAGCAAACAGGAUUAGAUACCCUGGUAGUCCACGCCGUAAACGAUGGAUACUAGACGCAGGAGGUAUCGACUCCUACUGUGUCUGAAGCUAACGCAAUAAGUAUCCCGCCUGGGGAGUACGGCCGCAAGGCUGAA
RNAcentral lists this ribosomal RNA (378 nucleotides) under uncultured bacterium. RNAcentral's name for it is "bacterial SSU rRNA". It matches the Rfam family "Bacterial small subunit ribosomal RNA", at positions 523 to 898 of the family's 1533-position model. The record is from RNAcentral.